AUUGAACGCUGGCGGCAUGCCUUACACAUGCAAGUCGAACGGCAGCACGGAGCAAUCCUGGUGGCGAGUGGCGAACGGGUGAGUAAUACAUCGGAACGUGCCCAGUCGUGGGGAUAACGUAGCGAAAGCUACGCUAAUACCGCAUACGAUCUAUGGAUGAAAGCGGGGGAUCGCAAGACCUCGCGCGAUUGGAGCGGCCGAUAUCAGAUUAGGUAGUUGGUGAGGUAAAGGCUCACCAAGCCGACGAUCUGUAGCUGGUCUGAGAGGACGACCAGCCACACUGGGACUGAGACACGGCCCAGACUCCUACGGAGGCAGCAGU
RNAcentral lists this ribosomal RNA (322 nucleotides) under uncultured bacterium. Its description in RNAcentral is "bacterial SSU rRNA". It matches the Rfam family "Bacterial small subunit ribosomal RNA", at positions 30 to 355 of the family's 1533-position model. The record is from RNAcentral.